Molecule: long non-coding RNA, 649 nt
Organism: Pollicipes pollicipes
Lineage: Eukaryota; Metazoa; Arthropoda; Thecostraca; Pollicipedomorpha; Pollicipedidae
Exons: 3
Source: RefSeq, a predicted model, not a curated record
UGGCAACAGUCGUCCUGACAACGGCCGAGUGGGUGACGACUUUUACGAAAAGGAUAACGAGACCGAAAAUGACCAAGAUGAGUACUACAGCGGAGCCUUGAAUGGACGCAGGAAACGGCGGAGGCGGUACCCGAAGCGCCACGGUCUCAGAUACGGAAAUGAAGCGUACGAGGGCGGCGACAGGACGCGCGGAACGGACCGCGAUAAGCAAUUCAGUCGGAGGGCAGGAGAGAUACAGGAGGAAGCCUCCCAGGGCUACGAAGAUACUCGGGAAGCCGUCAGCGAUAUGCUGGAUGCAAUGUCGCACAAGAGAAACGACGAUAACUGCAAGGAGGUCAAGCGAGACGGCAUGACGUGCUUCCAGUGCACCGACUCCGAAGGCAUGGAGACGGAGGACUGUGCCUACGCCGGCGGUGACCCCGAUGGUCGCCACACGAGCUACAGUGUCUCCUCGAGCUACGGCGAAACCCCUCGGAAAUCUCGCCCCUCCCGCGACCCUAGCGCCACCUAUACACCCGACCGCAGCGACGUUUACCGUCAAGUGAGGCGAGGCAGGAAGAGCCGCUCAGCCGAAGUGCGUGGUGGCGGUCCAGGUGGCGGAAACGGCGCCGAUUCUGCGGAGGCCUCGGGCGGUCCGCGCCUCCGUGAG